This 2549-nucleotide long non-coding RNA is filed under the name Homo sapiens (human). Its description in RNAcentral is "HSALNT0340114". Lineage: Eukaryota; Metazoa; Chordata; Mammalia; Primates; Hominidae. The record is from RNAcentral.
UGUGUGGGAAUUCAAGCUUAACAAUAAACAUCAAGACAUUUUUGAUAAAAAUGAAUCCACUGACAUCGGGGAGGAGCAAGAGAACAGCACGCUGACACUGGGUCAGAGGCUAAGACCGACAUUUCUGGGAACCACUCCCGGAAGGGCACAGAGGAGACGCUUUCAGCCUCUCAUCAGCCAGCCUGGCCUGUAGCUGCUGCACGUUAUGAGUGUGUUCCUGGCAUGACUGCUUCUAACAAAGAAAUGCUGAGGCAGUGUCACGCUGGUGUCUGUCCUCCUUACAGAAUGCCUGAACAGUUCCAUUGACUCAAAGUGAAGAUCAAAAGAACCAAAUGACAGCAAUAGCCAAGUGUAAUCAUCAGUAACCCUGUGUUCUAUCCACAGGUCUUCAUUUAGCUACUGAAAAGAUUUGAUCUCAAAUCAAUGAUCUAACCACCCAUGACCAUCUCCCACCUCUCUCCCCGUACACCCCCCAGCAUGAAUUCUGGGAACUCAGGUAAAAUGCUUUCUGGAAACCUGCCUGUAUUAGUCUGUUGUCAAGCUGCUAAUAAACACAUACCCGAAACUGGGUAGUUUAUAAAGGAAAGAGGUUUCCUUUAUAGUUCCACAUGGCUUGGGAGGCCUCACAAUCAUGGUGGAAGGCGAAUGAGAAGCAAAGUCACAUCUUGCAUGGCAGCAGGGAAGAGAGAGUUUGUGUAGGGGAACACCCCUUUAAAAAACCAUCAGAUCUUGUGACACUCAUUCACUGUCACGAGAACAGCACGGGAAAGACCCGCCCCCAUGAUUCAAUUACCUCCCAUGACACAAGGGAAGUAUAGGAGCUACAAUUCACAAUGAGAUCUGGGUGGGGACACAGACAAACCAUGUCACCGCCUAAAACCAACUCAAUAGUCUAAGGAAUUUGACUGGGGAGAAUCUGGAGAGGAUUUAAUUAAUUUGGCAAAAGGAUUAGCAAUUGAAUCUAAGUGAGAAAAGAGAAUUCUUGGAGGAAAAAAAGAUGUUUAGUUACACUGAGAAAUUAAAACCUGAAGUAAUUGCCUUUGAGAUUUUUUUCAGGAAAUGAGUAUUGAUUGCCUACUGUGUGUCAAAUUAUGUGUUUCAUGUCAAAGACUCCAAAGUAGAUAAGAUAUAGGCCCAGCCUUGGGGAGCUCAUUGAGUCACAGAGAAAGUUUGAAUGUUUCAGAGGAAUCAUCAAGAACAGGGGAUCAGCAAUCUAUUAUAUUUUAAUUGCGUCUUUUCAUGAUUAUAAAAGCAAUGCAUGCGUGCUGAAGAGAAUUUGGAAAAACAAAGAAGAAAUUAAAAAUCGUCUCUGAUCCUGCCACCAGAAAUAACCACUGUUAGCAAUUGUAUCACUUCUGUAGGUCUACAUGGUUAUCAUAAUAAGCUCUAGUAUUGAUUACAUGCAUCUCAUGUACCAGAGAUUAUGCUAGACUCUCAUUUAAUCUGUACAUUAGCCCUAUGAAGUAGGGACCAUCAUUCUCCUCAUUUUACAGAUGAGGAAACAGAGGCUUGGAGAGGUUACUCUGCCUAAAGUCUCAUAGCUAGCGAGUGGCAGAGAUUGGACUCACCCAAGCUUUGUCUUAUUCUCAAGCUCUCAACCAACCCGGUGGUGAGAAGAGCCAGCAGCAAAGCCUGUCAUCUUUGUCUUCUUUUUUUUUCUAACCUCAAAUCAGGGAGAAAAUGCCCUUUGUCAUUAGAAGGGCAAGGCAAUUCUGAAGACAGCCCAGUUGGCUUGUCUCCGAUUUGGCUUUCAGGGGCCUGUCUGAUACCUAUGGAGAGACGAGGGCUGAACAAGCUGUACUCUCAAAACAAAACAAAGCAAAACAAAACUUUAGUCUCUUUAGGGACUCUCUGAUAGUAAUGCAGAGGGAGAAAGGCUUUCUUUGUCUCACUGGGAGGAAGGUUCCCUACGGAAAUUGAAGGCAGUGCCUGUUGACAUAGCGCUGCCACCUGGUGGAAAUAAUGGUGUAGGACAUCAUGUCCAGCACCACUAGCGCUGAGACACUCCCUGGGAAGAGAAAUGUUUGGAGAGAAAUUUGCAAGAAGUUGGAAGUCUCGCAGUAGCAGGUAGGAACAAGAAUUAUAACUGCUACUGUGACCCCCUAAGGCUCCUCACAUCCUCUUAAGGCUUGGAGAAACUCACACUAUGUAUAUUUUCCUGUAUUUUUGAAAAAUGUUUUCCUUUAUGCUUUGUUGUAAUGAAAUUACCUCUGAUGGUCACAUACCUUAAAUAUUUAGUAUAUAUAUGAAUACUAAAUGUCCAUUUUCAGGAGUUAGUUUACCUGCAUCUAAAAUCAGGAAUAGGUCACAGAGUAACUGAGCAAAAAGUGCUGUUAGGUUUGUGCAUUUCACCCUUUGCCUGGGAUGAGAGGACCUCAAUCAUCUUGGUACUAAUGACAGGAAAAGUGCCCUCCUAUCCAUGUGUAUCGGCUACGUGACUCAAGUCUCCUUAUUUCCUUUUCUAGCAUAACAAGGGGUUGUUACUGUUGUUUUACAUCUGUGUUAAUGAGAUAAAUAAGUUUAAAAUAAAAAGAUGUGUACCAGGCAGA